Molecule: ribosomal RNA, 253 nt
Filed under: uncultured bacterium
Lineage: Bacteria
Description: partial 16S ribosomal RNA
Rfam family: Bacterial small subunit ribosomal RNA
Source: RNAcentral
UACGUAGGGUGCAAGCGUUGUCCGGAAUUAUUGGGCGUAAAGCGCGCGUAGGUGGCUUCGUAAGUCCGUUGUGAAAGUCAAAGGCUCAACCUUUGAAAGCCGAUGGAUACUGUGAAGCUAGAGUACGGAAGAGGCGAGUGGAAUUCCUGGUGUAGCGGUGGAAUGCGCAGAUAUCAGGAGGAACACCAAUAGCGAAGGCAGCUCGCUGGGACGUUACUGACACUGAGGCGCGAAAGCGUGGGGAGCGAACAGG